RNAcentral lists this long non-coding RNA (3036 nucleotides) under Mytilus galloprovincialis (Mediterranean mussel). The record is from RNAcentral. Lineage: Eukaryota; Metazoa; Mollusca; Bivalvia; Mytilida; Mytilidae.
CCCCCCGGCUAAUGCCUCCAACGCCUGUACGUACAAUAAACAUAGCAGCAACUGCACAUAUACCUAUGUGACCAACUUCAAUCCGACGUAACUGCGAGCACCUUCGAUACUAAUACAUUUAAAUCCCAAACUUUAUAUAGUACCUUUAAACCCCACCCAUAAAAACCGCCAAAACUUUCCUCGUGCCUCCUGCACCUAACACCAAACUUAUAAAUAGUACAUACUGUUACAAAACCAGUAUCCGAACUAGUUAUACUAGUUCCCAUCUGUAAAUAUUAACUACAAAUAGCAAACGGGAAAAACCCUAUUUCAAACGAAAUAAAAUACAUUUAAAUUCUCCCUCGCCCUGCUCGUCCGAAUUUAAAGCAUUUAAUUUCUAAUUCAAUAGGCUAUAAACAAGACAAACACAGAUAUAGGAUUAGUUGCUCGCAGUAACAUCGAAACAAAGGAAAUGAAACAGUUCAGAAUAAGAUGCUGAUAUAAAAAGUCUUUUGAGAUAUUGCUAAUUGAAGAUAAAUCUUCAACCACUAAACUGGACCAAUAUCAGUUUCAAGUCGACAAUCGGAACGUCAAAUACGACAUAUUGAACCGGAAGCUUCCGCAAUAGAUGGUUAUGCAGACAAAUGUUUUGCAAAUCUUGAAUCGAUGGAUAAUUUCUCAAACUGUUUUCCUUGAUUCUGUAAAUAGAAGAACACAAUCAAAACUUCAUACAUACAUGUACUUGUAUCUUAAUCAGAUAAACAUUAAACUCUAUAGAUAUAUACAUAUUUCAUAUCUAUAUACAUCAACUUCUAAUCAUACUAUGUGAUUCUUUAUGUUACACACUGCAACAUAGCUCAUGAAAGUCUAAACAUAUAUGCAUCUCAGAUCUACAUACAUCAACUUCUAAUCACACUGUGAUCCUUUAUGUCACACUGCGCAACAUAGCUCAUGAAAGUCUAAACAUAUAUGCAUCUCAGAUCUACAUACAUCAACUUCAUAUCACACUGUGUGAUCCUAUUGUUGCAUUCAUAAAAAUCUAAACAUAUAUAUAUAUAUAUAUCUAUUAUAUCAACAACAACAAAAAACAAAGUCUACAGCUAUGUCUGAAGCUCUGACUUUGUACAAGGUUUCUUAUUAUCUUUGUUACAUUUUUAUUAUCGAUUUUAAAUUAAAAAAAGUUUUCCACUCAAUAUGUUAUGUACCAUGUGUACGGACUGUAAAAUAUUACUGCUUACCGUUUUAAAAUCUCUCCAAGUUGAACUCUUGGUACUGUCCGAUUUAUCUCACAUAAAAACGGGCUACUUUUUAUACCUACACCUGCAUAUUUGUGGCAUCCGGGAAAUAAUUAGCACAUACAUAAGGUCUCCAAUAUGGUACUAAAACUCUGAUCGUUUUAUAGUAAAUGCGACCUGCUGAUAAAAUAAAAUCAAAAUUGUGGUAUUUAAUGAAAAAACAUAUAAAAUUGAUGAUUAUUACAAGUCUCAUCUUCAAAUCAAUUGUAUACAUAUAUUUAAUUAUGUACAAAAGUUAAUGCCUUCAUAUUUAAUCUUUUGUUUUCUGUAUAUUAAUUUAACUAUACAACAUCCCAUGGUGCAUUGUGCAACCAAUCACAUCGCUCCCAGCGACAACAUUCCAUGGUGCACUACACUGUGCAACCAAUCACAUCGCUCCCAGCGACAACAUUCCAUGGUGCACUACACUGUGCAACCAAUCACAUCGCUCCCAGCGAUCUAAUAAAAUAAAUUUCAUACAUACCAUUUCAAACUCAUCUGUAACUCGUAUCACUCUUCGUGACAAAAUCAUCUCACUGCGAGAAGAUUUAAACAUAUGUUGUUUCCAUGUCUCAAAUCUAGUACAAGUCUUACAAAUUCUUUACCUGAACUUUGUACUGAAACAGUAAUCAGAUUUUAUACAAAAGGUGGACACUGUAAUAUUUAGUGAGCAUUUCAUCUAUCAACUUUUAAAUAAAAGUUGCAUGCUUAAAAGCUGAUUUGUUUUCAUAUUAAUGAACUCAACAUGGUUCACAUGAUGAUUAUUACAAGUCUCAUCUUCAAAUCAAUUGUAUACAUAUAUUUAAUAAUGUACAAAAAGUUAAUGCCUUCAUAUUUAAUCUUUUGUUUUCUGUAUAUUAAUUAAAACUAUACAACAUCCCAUGGUGCAUUGUGCAACCAAUCACAUCGCUCCCAGCGACAACAUUCCAUGGUGCACUACACUGUGCAACCAAUCACAUCGCUCCCAGCGACAACAUUCCAUGGUGCACUACACUGUGCAACCAAUCACAUCGCUCCCAGCGACAACAUUCCAUGGUGCACUACACUGUGCAACCAAUCACAUCGCUCCCAGCGAUCUAAUAAAAUAAAUUUCAUACAUACCAUUUCAAACUCAUCUGUAACUCGUAUCACUCUCCGUGACAAAAUCAUCUCACUGCGAGAAGAUUUAAACAUAUGUUGUUUCCAUGUCUCAAAUCUAGUACAAGUCUUACAAAUUCUUUACCUGAACUUUGUACUGAAACAGUAAUCAGAUUUAUACAAAAGGUGGACACUGUAAUAUUUAGUGAGCAUUUCAUCUAUCAACUUUUAAAUAAAAGUUGCAUGCUUAAAAGCUGAUUUGUUUUUCAUAUUAAUGAACUCAACAUGGUUCACAUGGUUCAGUAUUGAAUGGAAAUAUAUAACCAAAUUCUGUAGUAUUUUAAAAUAAAAUCAUAAACCUGUAAAACGGUUUUAAAAAAAAAAUAAAAGAACACAAAUAUAUUGAUUUUCGCUUCUAACUUAAUAAUACGUUCCAGGCAUGAUUUCAGAAUGUAAAUAAAGUCAACAUUAUACUCAACUCCGUCAUGUGAAAACAUGUUCCUCUUUCGCAUCGUUUCUUUCCCCCCGGCUAAUGCCUCCAACGCCUGUACGUACAAUAAACAUAGCAGCAACUGCACAUAUACCUAUGUGACAAACUUCAAUCCGACGUAACUGCGAGCACCUUCGAUACUAAUACAUUUAAAUCCCAAACUUUAUAUAGUACCUUUAAACCCCACCCAUAAAAACCGCCAAAACUUUCCUCGUG